RNAcentral lists this ribosomal RNA (377 nucleotides) under uncultured cyanobacterium. Its description in RNAcentral is "bacterial SSU rRNA". It matches the Rfam family "Bacterial small subunit ribosomal RNA", at positions 376 to 770 of the family's 1533-position model. Lineage: Bacteria; Bacillati; Cyanobacteriota. The record is from RNAcentral.
CGCAAGCCUGACGGAGCAAGACCGCGUGCGGGAUGACGGCCUAAUGGUUGUAAACCGCUUUUCUCUGGGAAGAUGAUGACGGUACCAGAGGAAUCAGCCUCGGCUAACUCCGUGCCAGCAGCCGCGGUAAUACGGAGGAUGCAAGCGUUAUCCGGAAUUAUUGGGCGUAAAGCGUCCGCAGGUGGCCGAUCGUGUCUGCUGUUAAAGACUAGAGCUCAACUCUGGAAAGGCAGUGGAAACUGAAUAACUUGAGAGCGGUAGGGGUAGAGGGAAUUCCCGGUGUAGCGGUGAAAUACGUAGAUAUCGGGAAGAACACCAGUGGCGAAGGCGCUCUACUGGGCCGCGACUGACGCUGAGGGACGAAAGCUAGGGGAGCG